GAUGAACGCUCGCGGCAGGCCUAAUACAUGCAAGUCGGACGGGAUUCAGGAGCUUGCUUCUGAUGAGAGUGGCGCACGGGUGCGUAACACGUAUGUAACCUACCUUUAUCAGGGGGAUAGCCUCUCGAAAGAGAGAUUAAGCCCGCAUAAAAUCACAGCACAGCAUUGUGUAAUGAUCAAAUAUUUAUAGGAUAAAGAUGGGCAUGCGGAACAUUAGCUAGAUGGCGGGGUAACGGCCCACCAUGGCGACGAUGUUUAGGGGAUCUGAGAGGAUGGCCCCCCACACUGGUACUGAGACACGGACCAGACUCCUACGGGAGGCAGCAGUAAGGAAUAUUGGUCAAUGGGCGGAAGCCUGAACCAGCCAUGCCGCGUGCAGGAAGACGGCCCUACGGGUUGUAAACUGCUUUUAUACGGGAAUAAACCCAGAUACGUGUAUCUGGCUGAAUGUACUGGAAGAAUAAGGAUCGGCUAACUCCGUG
Molecule: ribosomal RNA, 482 nt
Filed under: uncultured bacterium
Lineage: Bacteria
Description: partial 16S ribosomal RNA
Rfam family: Bacterial small subunit ribosomal RNA
Source: RNAcentral